CUGGGGCAUGCGUACCUGAAGGGUUGUCGCCCGCCCCAUUCCCCACUCCCUCACCUCCCCACCCUCGGCCCCUCCCUGCUCCCCUCCCCUCUGACUCGCUGGCUAGGACUUCGCUCGGACUCCCCCUGGCGGAUUGGCUAAGGCCGAGCUGCCCUAGUGAUGUCAUCACCCAUUUGCACACACAGUCGGAUGUAUCUUUCUGAGACAGCACCUGCAUCGUGACCCCACAACCUUCAAUGGCUCCACAUCCCAUGGAUGGGAGGAACACAGCCCAGAGCCAGCCUAAAAUCCAAUUCCUACCUUCGUCCCGGCCUUCAGGUUGAAUUGUAAUGUAUUAUCUUUUAGUUGCUACUAACCCUGAGCCAUUCCGCAAGACUGGAAAAUAAUAAGCAAUAAAAAUAUGCAAUUCAUCACUA
Long non-coding RNA from Gorilla gorilla gorilla (western lowland gorilla), 416 nucleotides. RefSeq lists it as uncharacterized. The transcript has 2 exons. The record is from RefSeq and is a predicted model, not a curated record. NCBI's taxonomy places the organism in Eukaryota, Metazoa, Chordata, Mammalia, Primates, Hominidae.